AAGAGAUUUAUAAAAAAAAAAAAAGUGUUAGUGUUUGCUGUUGACGUGUUGUGGAUCUGCAGCUGUGUUUUUAGUUUGACCACAGCGAGGACACUCAGAGAGAUACUCAGAGCAGACUUUGAAAGAA
Thalassophryne amazonica is the source of this 127-nucleotide long non-coding RNA. RefSeq lists it as uncharacterized. The record is from RefSeq and is a predicted model, not a curated record. The transcript has 3 exons. NCBI's taxonomy places the organism in Eukaryota, Metazoa, Chordata, Actinopteri, Batrachoidiformes, Batrachoididae.